GAUGAACGCUGGCGGCGUGCUUAAUACAUGCAAGUCGAGCGAACGGACGAGAAGCUUGCUUCUCUGAUGUUAGCCGCGGACGGGAGAGUAACACGUGGAUAACCUCCCUAUAUGACUGGGAUCACCUCGGGAAACGGGAGCUAAUCCCGGAUGAGCUUUUGAUCCGCAUGGUUCAAAGGAGAGAGACGGUCGUGCUGUCAGUAAUAGCUGGUUCCCCGCUGCAUUAGCUGGUUGGUAAGGUAAAGGCUUACCAAGGGAACGAUGCAUAACCGACCUGAGAGGGUGAUCGGCCACACUGGAGCUGAGACGCGGUCCAGGCUCCUACGGGAGGGAGCAGUAGGGAAUCUUCCGCAGUGGGCGAAAGCCUUGCGGAGCAACGCGGCGUGAGUUGCGGAGGUCUUGGGUUCGUAAUACUCUGUUUCUAGGUGUGAACAUAUUUGUAAUGAGCCGUGCCGAUCUUGACGGUACCUGAUCAGAAAGCCACGGCUAACUACGUG
This 497-nucleotide ribosomal RNA is filed under the name uncultured bacterium. RNAcentral describes it as "partial 16S ribosomal RNA". It matches the Rfam family "Bacterial small subunit ribosomal RNA", at positions 28 to 507 of the family's 1533-position model. The record is from RNAcentral.